AUUAGAUGGUAAACUUUUUGAUUUGAGAGAGAAUAUUUCUUCUCAGGUUGACUUAAUCAACAACACCUGAAAUAAUGGAGUUGACACGCAAAAAAAGAAGUGGCACUUUUGAAGAGUGUAAUUGGUUGAUGGGUCUGUUAUUAGAUGGUAAACUUUUUGAUUUGAGAGAGAAUAUUUCUUCUCAGGUUGACUUAAUCAACAGCACCUGAAAUAAUGGAGUUGACACGCAAAAAAAGAAGUGGGUAAGUUUGGAAAAACAUGCAAAUCACUUUUAAAUUUUUUCCGUUUACUACAUACUUUGAAUUCCAGUUUUAUGUCUAAUUCUUUUGCAGCACUUUUGAAGAGUGUAAUUGGCAAGUGGUGCUCGAAUUGUGGAAAGAUGAAUUCCAUUAGCCUUGUUGCAGAAUUUAUUCUAGAAGUUUAGCGAAUUAAUUCAGAUGAUGAGGAGAGAGUUUGACGUAGUUUCAUGUUGAAAUUACUUUAGCUUUUAUUAGUUAGAAUUUGUUUUAUUUGAGAUAGAACAACCAGUCAUUUGAUUUGAUAGCGUAUAACUUGGAAGGAGACUUCUGCUAUGUCCUUUGAAAUACAAUCUAAAGAUUAUUAUUUCGUAUUUGUUA
Long non-coding RNA from Lycium ferocissimum, 617 nucleotides. RefSeq lists it as uncharacterized. The record is from RefSeq and is a predicted model, not a curated record. NCBI's taxonomy places the organism in Eukaryota, Viridiplantae, Streptophyta, Magnoliopsida, Solanales, Solanaceae. The transcript has 2 exons.